CACGCUGUAAACGAUGGGUACUAGGUGUGGGAGGUAUCGACUCCUUCCGUGCCGCAGUUAACACAAUAAGUACCCCGCCUGGGGAGUACGAUCGCAAGAUUAAAACUCAAAGGAAUUGACGGGGGCCCGCACAAGCAGCGGAGCAUGUGGUUUAAUUCGAAGCAACGCGAAGAACCUUACCUAGACUUGACAUCCCCUGCAUAGCAUAGAAAUAUGUGAAGUCCUUCGGGACAGGGAGACAGGUGG
This 246-nucleotide ribosomal RNA is filed under the name uncultured Clostridiaceae bacterium. RNAcentral describes it as "partial 16S ribosomal RNA". It matches the Rfam family "Bacterial small subunit ribosomal RNA", at positions 796 to 1041 of the family's 1533-position model. The record is from RNAcentral. Lineage: Bacteria; Bacillati; Bacillota; Clostridia; Eubacteriales; Clostridiaceae.